CUGGUGGAUCCUACCAGUGAUAUACGCUCGUCUCAAAGGUUAAGCCAUGCAUGUCUAAGUACAAGCUUCCUAGAAAGUGAAACCGCAUAAGGCUCAGUAUAACAGCUAUAAUUUACAAGAUCCUCAUCCAAACAGUUACUUGGAUAACUGUGGAAAAGCCAGAGCUAAUACAUGCAUUAUGCCGGGACUGUUGGCCUCCGGGUCGGCGGAACUGGUGCACUUAUUAGUUAAACCAAUCGCCUCCGGGCGCUUUGAGUUGAAAUCUGGAUAAGGAUGCCGAUCGUACGGUCGCUUGCGACUGACGACAGAUCUUUCAAAUGUCUGCCCUAUCAACUAUUGAUGGUAGUGUAGAGGACUACCAUGGUUGCGACGGGUAACGGGGAAUCAGGGUUCGAUUCCGGAGAGGGAGCCUGAGAAAUGGCUACCACAUCCAAGGAAGGCAGCAGGCGCGUAAAUUACCCAAUCCCGGCACGGGGAGGUAGUGACGAGAAAUAACAAUAUGGACCUCUCUAACGAUGGUCCAUAAUUGGAAUGAGUUGAGCAUAAAUCCUUUUGCAAGGAUCAAGUGGAGGGCAAGUCUGGUGCCAGCAGCCGCGGUAAUUCCAGCUCNNNNNNNNNNNNNN
This 623-nucleotide ribosomal RNA is filed under the name Anopheles gambiae (African malaria mosquito). RNAcentral describes it as "eukaryotic small subunit ribosomal RNA". It matches the Rfam family "Eukaryotic small subunit ribosomal RNA", at positions 4 to 605 of the family's 1831-position model. The record is from RNAcentral. Lineage: Eukaryota; Metazoa; Arthropoda; Insecta; Diptera; Culicidae.